UAAUAAUAAUAAUUGACCGCGUAGUUUUUGAGUUAUGGCCAUAGCAACACCAUAGCAACGAGGGACGCGCCGUCCUGCCGACCCCUACCUCGUGACGUAACUUCCAGGAAGCCUCGCCACCACUCUGAACACGGAAAUAUAGCACCACGCUAUCCUCGCCAUAUAUUGCAAACAUUUUCUGGGUUUUACUCGCGGGAUUCGUCAUGCCAUCUCGAUGUGUAGCAAUAUGAAUUACUCACAGGAAGACUUGAGACUCUAGGAGUGGUCCAAAAAAAAACUUCUCCUGCAAAGCCACGACAGCUUUGAAAACCUACAGCAAUGCAACCUUGGUUUUCCAAAGACGAAGCCAAACAUAAAAAAUUAAGUGGCGGAAACCCUCAACACGAUGAAAAAAGCGUUGCAAGUCAGUUGCCACCCAGUUUCCCAAAAUCAAGAGAGAGUGGGUCGAGUCAUAUGAUGACCGAAGCGAUGCGGUGUCCAGCGAUGACAACUGAAGAGAUCCUAUGAGGCCUGCCAGAUGCUGAAUUUCUUCCGUCUGCGACAUCAGAUGACGAUGAUUUAGGAGAAAUAAAUGUAGCAAAUUUUGAUGACAUGAAAUCAUAAACUAGUCAUAUAUACAGUACACAUUUUUUAAAAGAAAAAUCAAGUUACCUUCAUAUUUUAAUGAUAAUGCAUUAUCUUUGUAUAGAGAACACUUCAUGCUACAGAAAAGAGUAAAUACAUAUUUCCCACUGCCAUUAUCAUUUUUCAAUGUUGCGCUAGUCCGUUGCUAUCCUAACUUUGUGUUGCUUACUAAAAUUAUGCUCUUUGAUGUGUGCCGUUGUGUGCUUGGUAUAACAUGUUGUGUCACAAUCUGACAACGAAAGCUAAUGCUGAUUCAACAUAAACCUGGUAUCAUUUAUUAUUGCGGCCUAUUGAAUAUUUUUUCAGAAUGUAAUAUAAUUACAAUAUAUUAUAUACCAAUAGAAUACAUUAAACAGUCAACAAAAUGUGUCAAUAUUGUUAACAAUUUAU
Long non-coding RNA from Corythoichthys intestinalis (scribbled pipefish), 1014 nucleotides. RefSeq lists it as uncharacterized. The record is from RefSeq and is a predicted model, not a curated record. The transcript has 3 exons. Lineage: Eukaryota; Metazoa; Chordata; Actinopteri; Syngnathiformes; Syngnathidae.